Molecule: long non-coding RNA, 1026 nt
Filed under: Oreochromis niloticus (Nile tilapia)
Lineage: Eukaryota; Metazoa; Chordata; Actinopteri; Cichliformes; Cichlidae
Description: lncRNA (ENSONIG00000031845.1)
Source: RNAcentral
AUGCAUACACCACCAAGAAGGCUGAAAAAAAGAGGGAAGAAAAAGAGAGAGACAAGGAGAGGAGAAAGACAACAAGCUGGUAGCAAGUGGCCAUCCUGCGCCCUGCCUCCUGCAUGCGCUACUCAGGCGUCUCCCUCAACAAGAACGGAGGUAAGAAAAGAUUUCCUUGAACAUGUUUUGGAGUUCAGUUGUGUUAGAGGAGAAGGAAAAUCAGCAGUAGAUUCAAUUCGUGAACUAUAUAUAGCUGACUGGUCUGUAAGGGUCAGAUUACUUGUGUGGCAACUCUUGACCGAUUAACUACAUUUGACCAAAUAGAGGUCUUGUCACAUGGUUUUAGUUGGGAUUUCAAAAUCAUUUUUCAAAUAUUUCCACAGUCUUAAAUUUAAGUGCGUUGCUGGAGCAACCAAGACUGCAUACAUAAUGGACUAAUGUUUCACACCUCUUUUAUGACUGCCUGACAUGUCACAUCCAAAAAGAUCUCUUUUGUGAAAGAAAACACCGUUGUUAAUAUUGGAUCUCCCUCCCUCUAGACUUUCCUUAUCACAGACAAAAUGUGCUGCAAGACUGACAUGUCAUGGUGCUGUUUGUCAGACAGCCCUCAGACGGAAUAUUUUUCCCCCCCGAUCAAAUUGGAAUGAACUAUAUUUUCAGGCUAUUUGUUGUCACAAAUUCACCCAUUCCUCAUAUGGAUGUGAUAUGUGCCUUGUCCCAGCUGUCAAAGGCUCAGUGGUGGCAGAAUGUAUUCAUGUCUUAAAUGAAUGAUAAAGUACGCUGCAACAGCUCAAAACCGAUGCCAUUUGGAAAAUAAAAUGGUUUCAAUACUUAAAGAACUGUGGCCGUUGAGCAAUACUCCUCUAAAGCUUGUGACAAACUGCAGUGAUGCACGCUCCAUUAGAUAAUCUUUGACUCAAUUUGUUUCUAAAUUUAUGUUUCUAGUCGUUUCAGUGAGUCGAAAGGAAGGAAAAUGUUCCCUUGAAUUGGAUUUUUACAGCAGAAAAAUUAUGGGAUGCUAAUCUAAAAAUCUUA